Molecule: long non-coding RNA, 395 nt
Filed under: Monodelphis domestica (gray short-tailed opossum)
Lineage: Eukaryota; Metazoa; Chordata; Mammalia; Didelphimorphia; Didelphidae
Description: lncRNA (ENSMODG00000039787.1)
Source: RNAcentral
AAAUCGAUCUCUGACUUGCAGUAUUUGCUGAUGGCUAAGGUAUAAAUGGUCAUACUGAAAAUGUAACCACUGGCUAAGCUGGUUAGAGCUGGGUCCUGUUUCAAGUUCUUUCUCUGGAUUGACUGUGAUAUUUAGAGCACAGGAGAUGAAAAAGGUUGCAGUGGAGAAUUAAACAAAGGAACAUAAGCGUAAUAUCACUGACAUGAUGGAGAAGUGAGUAUCCAUGGGAUUAGGGAGGAGGGCAAUAGCAUUGAGUGGGAAAAAAAGGGGCAUAUAGGAUUUGAAGAAAGAGCAUGAGAUUUGAAAUAUAAAAUUCUCAUUUCAGAUUCUGGUCCAUAUUUCUCAUGUGCUUCCUCAUUUGCAAAAUAAAGGAUUUGAACAAGUUGAUUUCUGAG